UCCCGAGCGUUNUCCGGAUUUAUUGGGCGUAAAGGGAGCGCAGGCGGUCAGGAAANUCUGGAGUAAAAGGCUAUGGCUNAACCAUAGUGUGCUCUGGAAACUGUCUGACUUGAGUGCAGAAGGGGAGAGUGGAAUUCCAUGUGUAGCGGUGAAAUGCGUAGAUAUAUGGAGGAACACCAGUGGCGAAAGCGGCUCUCUGGUCUGUCACUGACGCUGAGGCUCGAAAGCGUGGGUAGCGAACAGGAUUAGAUACCCUGGUAGUCCACGCCGUAAACGAUGAGUGCUAGGUGUUAGGCCCUUUCCGGGGCUUAGUGCCGGAGCUAACGCAAUAAGCACUCCGCCUGGGGAGUACGACCGCAAGGUUGAAACUCAAAGGAAUUGACGGGGGCCCGCACAAGCGGUGGAGCAUGUGGUUUAAUUCGAAGCAACGCGAAGAACCUUACCAGGUCUUGGCAUCCCGAUGCUAUUCUUAGAGAUAGGAAGUUACUUCGGUACAUCGGAGACAGGUGGUGCAUGGUUGUCGUCAGCUCGUGUCGUGAGAUGUUGGGUUAAGUCCCGCAACGAGCGCAACCCUUAUUGUUAGUUGCCAUCAUUAAGUUGGGCACUCUAGCGAGACUGCCGGUAAUAAACCGGAGGAAGGUGGGGAUGACGUCAAAUCAUCAUGCCCCUUAUGACCUGGGCUACACACGUGCUACAAUGGUCGGUACAACGAGUUGCGAGCCGGUGACGGCAAGCUAAUCUCUGAAAGCCGAUCUCAGUUCGGAUUGGAGGCUGCAACUCGCCUCCAUGAAGUCGGAAUCGCUAGUAAUCGCGGAUCAGCACGCCGCGGUGAAUACGUUCCCGGGCCUUGUACACACCGCCCGUCACACCACGAGAGUUUGUAACACCCGAAGUCGGUGAGGUANCCUUUUAGGG
RNAcentral lists this ribosomal RNA (915 nucleotides) under uncultured bacterium. RNAcentral describes it as "bacterial SSU rRNA". It matches the Rfam family "Bacterial small subunit ribosomal RNA", at positions 532 to 1447 of the family's 1533-position model. The record is from RNAcentral.